AUGCAAUGACUCCAUGAAAAGAACAAAGGAAUGAAACGUGAAUCAGCCAUUUGUGUAACAUUGCUCGGCUGCAGAGAGCAGUGCUCACAUAGACAUUUGGCAUUGAUGGCUGUUAAAUUUUUUAUUUCCUUCUCUAGCCUCUUCCUUUUGGUGGUCCAAACUCAAACCUUACACAGCUAUAUAACUUCAAUCCCUCAUCCUUUUCCAAAUUACUUCUGGCUGUCAUAAGAAUUUAGUCUCACCAUAGCCAGUCACAGCAACAUGCUUCAUUAGAUACCACGGUCAAGAGGUUCUCAGGCCAAAAAAUCCCGACUGAUUAAUAAAAACUCAGGCAAGUUUCUACUCUCUGUGUUUCACUAUCAUCAUCCUCUUACUGCUUAUUGUGAUGAGAAACAAUAGCACAUACAAACAUCUAAACAUUUGUUGUCUUACUAAAUGGUCCAACAAGGAGUUUGAAUUCUCAUUUACUUUAAAAAAUUAAGGAAGCAAAAGUUCCUAAUUUAUUUAAUCCCAUUGGCUAUAUCCUUAAUGAAAAGAAAAAAAAAACCAUUAUUUAUCUGAGCAGCAUACGUGAAAUUGUUUCAGGAAUCAAAAGUUUACUGUAAUUAUGCAACUGGGCUUCUAAUAUCAUACAACCUCAACUACUAUCUCAUGUUGCACCAUUUAACUGGUUACCAACAAAAAGCAACAAAAACGAAAGAGAGGAGAUAGAGUAGAGCACCCGCAAUAUUUCCCUGGACUUUGAAAAUGCCGUGGAACUAGUAAAAAUAGGGCUUAAUUCUAUCAGAAAAGGCCAAAACAUCUAAGAUCAAAAUAAUGUACCAAUUAGUGGGACGGAAAUCAAUUUAAUGUCACCAUCAAGACAUGGUCAAUCAAACUUGCAUUUGCGGAAGCAUCGCCUGCAGGCUGAUACAACUGCAUACACGAAUCCUAUCACAGCAAGAAGCAACACAGUCAUAGAGAAAUAGAAUAAAAUUGCCAGGCGGUAUCUGAUAAUCCAUGGUAAAUUUACUUCAAGAAAGCAAUGACUUUUAUGCCUUCCUAAUUUAAUGGAUGUCACAGGGUUCAUGCUAAGUGAUUGCAGCUCCAACAAUGGAAAUUUUACACCAGUGACAGGGUAUCCAUUCGUGUCCCUCACUUCAAGCUUCAAGGUUACAGGAGUUGCACUCCAGUCUAUUUCAAUUGCUCCAAAAUUGGGCAGGCCAUAUGUACAUGACCUGAAUCUGCAGUUUUGGUUCAUUACUCUCAUUGUAGUUGGUGUCAACCAAGCCACAAAUCUCACUAUUAAAUUCAAUGGCCGCCGGACUGCCUUCUCAACAGCUUGGGUAAGUCCACUUGAGGUCACGUCAUACAGUGGAUAUCCAGUAGCGCAGUCAUAUCGAGAGAUUUCUCCAAAAUGAACGUCCCCACUAAUGAAAAAGAUACCUUCUCUCUUACUAUCUAGUAUCAAUUUAAAUAGGCGAUUCCUCUCCUUUGGGAAACGUCCCCAAGACUCCAAAUAAAACAAUGGACCAGUGGUUGCUGAAAGAUUUGAUAUAACCUGAAUUGUGAGGGAAGAAAUAAGAGCAUAAUUAACCCAUAAUAACAGAAUAAAAAGACCUACCUAGUGAGAAACCGUAAAUGUAUAUACAAAAAUGUCAAAAGAAUUCAGGAUGGAGAACGUGGUAGUUAAAUUAAGAAUGUAAUAUUAGGCAUCAGUUGUCAGAUAUAAAUGACCUUCUGAUCUCCAAUCAUUCCUUGUACACCAAAGAAGGCCAGCCAUAAUGCAAUGAACAUACACCAAAACUGCUUCCAUAUGCAGAAGCAGAAAGCAACAUCUGCAAGCUCUUUAAAACAUUGACUUGAAAACAAGCUCAUUAAGACUCUUUCUUGACCACAUACCAUAAUUUCCAUAAAUUUUGUGUAAAAAUGACCAUUAUAACAUGUUAUGCAACCAUUGCAGGGUUCUGGAAGGGUGAUAAGAGUCCAAACCACCAGCAAAAAAAUUCUUAAUAUACUGUAGCAAAGAGACUCCCAUAGCUCAUGGACGAAACAGAUCAUGCAAUUGGACCCCUUUUGGGUCAGUACAUUGAAUGACAAACUGCUCAACUCAACACAAAAAAGUUGAGACAAUUAAAUGUGGAAAGCCAGAUGAAACGAUGAAUCAAUUAACCUAAGAUCAUACUCUUGCAGAUAAUGUCAAGACUGGAUCAUGAAGGCUACUGGAAUAACAAUUGGUUAAACCAGAUUAUUAUUUUUAAUCCAUUAGUCUUAAUUGAUUCAAGGAAAUCAAAGCAUAGGAAAAACAUGUGCUAGAUUAUUCAAUAGAGAAUGGUACCACGUGCAAAUAUGUGUAUGAAUAUGUGCAUUUGUGCAAGCAUUAAAGCUUGCUUGUAUGUGCAUAAACCUGAUUAGCGGUCAAAGAUAAAAUUACAUAAUACCUGAACAGAAGAUCCAAUUAUGGUGAUGGCUGUUUUGGGUCCAUUCAACUCUUUUUCUAGCCAUGUCCACUGAGAACUUCCCAGGAAACUUCCAUCACUACGCAAAGGGUCUCUGUGGUAUCUUGUAUCUAAGAGAAUAACCUUAAUUUGUCUGUUUGUAGGGCCAAAAGUAUAAGAUGCAUAUACACCUUCCUGUUUGCGCCGAGGACUGUCGUGAGGUUCAUCUAAGAAAUUGAGUAGUAGUCUCUGGUUGUUGACUUUCUCAGUAAAUUCUUUUCCAGCAUCAUUUAAUCCAUAAUCAUGGUCAUCCCAGGUGCCAAUU
Molecule: unclassified non-coding RNA, 2742 nt
Filed under: Hevea brasiliensis (rubber tree)
Lineage: Eukaryota; Viridiplantae; Streptophyta; Magnoliopsida; Malpighiales; Euphorbiaceae
Source: RNAcentral